GUGGUUGUGGUUCAGUGGUAGAAUGCUCACCUAGCACAUGUGAGGCACUGGGUUCAAACCUCAGCACCACA
Molecule: transfer RNA, 71 nt
Filed under: Marmota marmota marmota (Alpine marmot)
Lineage: Eukaryota; Metazoa; Chordata; Mammalia; Rodentia; Sciuridae
Also listed under: 1 other name
Rfam family: tRNA
About the family: Transfer RNA (tRNA) molecules are approximately 80 nucleotides in length. Their secondary structure includes four short double-helical elements and three loops (D, anti-codon, and T loops).
Source: Rfam by way of RNAcentral